This is a long non-coding RNA of Oreochromis niloticus (Nile tilapia), 1083 nucleotides long. RefSeq lists it as uncharacterized. Lineage: Eukaryota; Metazoa; Chordata; Actinopteri; Cichliformes; Cichlidae. The transcript has 2 exons. The record is from RefSeq and is a predicted model, not a curated record.
GUAGUGGUAACGCGUUGGCAGUCCGUGGACGACGGAGGCAGUGCCGAAAAUAGGUGGCAGGCUACAGCUCGUCUCUUGCUCCUGGUGGAAGUCAUCUGUCCUUUCCUUCCCUGUUUCGGCCCACCUCUCAACCAAUCACCGUUUGACCGACGCACAACGUCAUCCACGUCAUCCACCACUAGGAACGUGCAGUUGGGAUUUUGGAGGACUGCACUGCAGCACGUUUGCGGUACUUGUCUGUAGGAAAAGGCAAUACACAAAAGGAAACAAUUGAUUCAAUAUGUCACUUGUCUCUUUGAGAUUGUCAUUGUUAUUGUUCUAAAUAAAGUUCAUUUGAAAAAACAAAAAAACAAAACAAAAAAAAAGGAAACAAUUACCGGACCAUAAACGCAUCAUCAGGAAGCAUCAUUGCACUUUGUCUUAACUUGUAUAUAUAAGCAGUGACCACAGACACUUGACAUGAUUUCUCUGACAUCAAACUGGAAAAAGGACCAUAAAAGGAGAAAUAUAAAAAUGAGAAAUACAGUUUUGAAAUGAUAUACAGACACAUCUGCCCCAACAGCAAUUUGGUGAUUUUUAAAACUUUUAAAGCUCUUUUGUUAAAUGUUAAUGUUCUUCUGAGAUCGUCUCCCAACCAAGCUGCAACUAAUGCAAAAUGAAACCAGUGCUGAAGUGCCAAAAGUCCCAGUUUCUCCAGUGGCCUCUUGAUAGAUUUAGCUACCAGUUCCUAAUUUGAAAAGUUGGAAGUGCCUUAAAACUCCAUUCUUUUAACUGGUCAGCAGGCUGCUGUUGGGAUGGACUUAAGCAAAAAUUCACAGGGGACCCCUCCAACCAGCGUUCAUCUCUAUUUUUUUAUAAUCUCACACUCCUAAUAGUACUAACAGUCCUAUAAAAUCCAGGUGUUUAUUACUCCAGAAAUGCCAGUGACCACAUUUGUUUUUUCCUCUUCUUUUUUUCUUUUUGCACUCCUAGAAAAAUAAUUCAUAAUUUUCCUGGCAUGAUUCUGUCCCCUUUGAGUCGGAUGGAACCUCCUUAGAGAGGUUAGGUCUCUCUAACUGUCACUGCCAACUUUGCACAUUGUAA